CAGAUGGGAGCUUGCUCCCUGAUGUUAGCGGCGGACGGGUGAGUAACACGUGGGUAACCUGCCUGUAAGACUGGGAUAACUCCGGGAAACCGGGGCUAAUACCGGAUGGUUGUUUGAACCGCAUGGUUCAGACAUAAAAGGUGGCUUCGGCUACCACUUACAGAUGGACCCGCGGCGCAUUAGCUAGUUGGUGAGGUAACGGCUCACCAAGGCGACGAUGCGUAGCCGACCUGAGAGGGUGAUCGGCCACACUGGGACUGAGACACGGCCCAGACUCCUACGGGAGGCAGCAGUAGGGAAUCUUCCGCAAUGGACGAAAGUCUGACGGAGCAACGCCGCGUGAGUGAUGAAGGUUUUCGGAUCGUAAAGCUCUGUUGUUAGGGAAGAACAAGUGCCGUUCAAAUAGGGCGGCACCUUGACGGUACCUAACCAGAAAGCCACGGCUAACUACGUGCCAGCAGCCGCGGUAAUACGUAGGUGGCAAGCGUUGUCCGGAAUUAUUGGGCGUAAAGGGCUCGCAGGCGGUUUCUUAAGUCUGAUGUGAAAGCCCCCGGCUCAACCGGGGAGGGUCAUUGGAAACUGGGGAACUUGAGUGCAGAAGAGGAGAGUGGAAUUCCACGUGUAGCGGUGAAAUGCGUAGAGAUGUGGAGGAACACCAGUGGCGAAGGCGACUCUCUGGUCUGUAACUGACGCUGAGGAG
RNAcentral lists this ribosomal RNA (700 nucleotides) under Bacillus velezensis. RNAcentral's name for it is "bacterial SSU rRNA". It matches the Rfam family "Bacterial small subunit ribosomal RNA", at positions 69 to 753 of the family's 1533-position model. The record is from RNAcentral. Lineage: Bacteria; Bacillati; Bacillota; Bacilli; Caryophanales; Bacillaceae.